RNAcentral lists this unclassified non-coding RNA (158 nucleotides) under rhizosphere metagenome. RNAcentral's name for it is "partial ribosomal RNA internal transcribed spacer region". The record is from RNAcentral.
GAAGAAAUAAGGGUGCUUUCGAGACCCGACUCUCAUUAUUAUUACCCUGUGCAUUAAACUUUUUUUAUAUUAAACACUACCAAGUAAUGAAUGUAAUCAGCUUGUUUUGAACAAGUAAAUAACAAAAUAAAACUUUCAGCAACGGAUCUCUUGGCUCU